GGGGGGGGGGGGGGGGGGGGCGGGCACGGGCGAGUCGAGCGGCGGCGCGGGAGGGGGGGGCGGUGGGGGGGGGCGAGGGGCGGAGGGGUGAGGAGUAGAUGGGAAUCCACUUUUUCGGGGGGGAUAACGUAGGGAGACUUCCGCUAGGACCGCAUACGACCUACGGGGGAAAGCAGGGGAUCUUCGGGCCUUGCGCUGUGGAAUGAGCCGACGUCGGCUUGGCGAGUUGGCGGGGUAAAGGCCCAGCAAGGCGACGAUCCUUAGCUGGUCUGCGAGGAUGAUCAGACACACUGGAACUGAGGCACGGUCGAGACGCCUACGGGAGGCAGCAGUGGGGAAUAUUGGACAAUGGGCGCAAGCCUGAUCCAGCCAUACCGCGUGGGUGAAGAAGGCCUUCGGGUUGUAAAGCCCUUUUGUUGGGAAAGAAAAGCAGCAGGUUAAUACCCCGCUGUUCUGACGGUACCCAAAGAAUAAGCACCGGCUAACUUCGUG
This 492-nucleotide ribosomal RNA is filed under the name uncultured bacterium. RNAcentral's name for it is "partial 16S ribosomal RNA". It matches the Rfam family "Bacterial small subunit ribosomal RNA", at positions 38 to 507 of the family's 1533-position model. The record is from RNAcentral.